UUUUGCAUAAGUGUGUUUAUUUUACCAUUAAGUUUUCUCUUAUCAUUUUUAAUCAUGAGUCUCAUACUUAGACUGUUCCUCCUGAACAUUCUUAAACCACUUCAACGUGUCAAAACUCAUCUCAAAAGGCAGAUUCUAUUUUGUAAAACACAACGCAUUUGGGCUCUACAACCACCAGAGUUAGUAGCCUAUGUUGAGGGUUUAGAACGCCAACUCAGAGACAUUGAGAGAAGUGUUUACGACAUCCAGUUGGAGCUUGAGG
This 262-nucleotide long non-coding RNA is filed under the name Citrus sinensis (sweet orange). RNAcentral's name for it is "long non-coding RNA (CSIN_LNC005476)". The record is from RNAcentral. Lineage: Eukaryota; Viridiplantae; Streptophyta; Magnoliopsida; Sapindales; Rutaceae.